UGAUUGUCCAAACGCAAUUCUUGUAUCACUUGUCUGUAUCUAGGAGUUGUGGAUGGACAUCACG
RNAcentral lists this microRNA precursor (64 nucleotides) under Paralichthys olivaceus (Japanese flounder). RNAcentral describes it as "microRNA pol-mir-219 precursor". Its record names the gene pol-mir-219. It matches the Rfam family "mir-219 microRNA precursor family", at positions 6 to 67 of the family's 79-position model. Rfam says of the family: The hairpin precursors (represented here) are predicted based on base pairing and cross-species conservation -- their extents are not known. In this case the mature sequence is excised from the 5' arm of the hairpin. The record is from miRBase by way of RNAcentral. Lineage: Eukaryota; Metazoa; Chordata; Actinopteri; Pleuronectiformes; Paralichthyidae.